RNAcentral lists this ribosomal RNA (125 nucleotides) under uncultured bacterium. RNAcentral describes it as "partial 16S ribosomal RNA". It matches the Rfam family "Bacterial small subunit ribosomal RNA", at positions 1379 to 1501 of the family's 1533-position model. The record is from RNAcentral.
CCUUGUACACACCGCCCGUCACACCAUGGGAGUUGGAUUUACCUUAAGACGGUGCGCUAACCCGCAAGGGAGGCAGCCGGCCACGGUAGGUUCAGCGACUGGGGUGAAGUCGUAACAAGGUACCC